CAAUAGAGGCGCGGUGGACAGGGUACUGCAUCUUUGGGGAUAGGCCCCCGGAAAGGAUGCGGGAAGGGGUCCGCCGCCGAAGGGAUCACACGAGCCUGUGCGGGCGAUUCCUGGCAGCGCGGUGUAAGCGGCGCUGCUGUCAUGUAGUGAUACAUGGAGCGCUAUUGGU
This 169-nucleotide non-coding RNA is filed under the name human gut metagenome. RNAcentral describes it as "Lysine riboswitch". It matches the Rfam family "Lysine riboswitch aptamer". Rfam says of the family: Riboswitches are metabolite binding domains within certain messenger RNAs that serve as precision sensors for their corresponding targets. Allosteric rearrangement of mRNA structure is mediated by ligand binding, and this results in modulation of gene expression. This family includes riboswitches that sense lysine in a number of genes involved in lysine metabolism, including lysC. The record is from RNAcentral.